Molecule: long non-coding RNA, 214 nt
Filed under: Carica papaya (papaya)
Lineage: Eukaryota; Viridiplantae; Streptophyta; Magnoliopsida; Brassicales; Caricaceae
Description: long non-coding RNA (CPAP_LNC014095)
Source: RNAcentral
GAGAAUUGGCAAAGGUUGGAGGGGUCCACCAGGACACUGUUGUUCUACUUUACCUAUAAAUAAGUAAGGUAUUUGGAAACAUACUCAGCAAUGUCUUUUUUUUCAUGCCAUUCCGCCAAAAUCGGGGUCUAAAAUUUUGAUAUAUUUUAGUAGCACACGGAUGCAUGACAAAUUUGGAGCAAUGAGCCUCAAUCAAAAUGCCUUUUUUUAGUUC